GGCCUCGUGGUCUAGUGGUAUGAUUCUCGCUUCGGGUGCGAGAGGUCCCGGGUUCGAUCCCGGUGAGGCCC
This 71-nucleotide transfer RNA is filed under the name Phytophthora infestans (potato late blight agent). RNAcentral describes it as "tRNA-Pro". It matches the Rfam family "tRNA". From Rfam's summary of the family: Transfer RNA (tRNA) molecules are approximately 80 nucleotides in length. Lineage: Eukaryota; Oomycota; Peronosporomycetes; Peronosporales; Peronosporaceae. The record is from RNAcentral.